CCCCUCCCACAGGCCUCACGAGAAGUUGGGACGGGCUGCAGGCUUGGGGGUGCCCAAGGGCCCAGAGAGGACUGCAGGGUCAGGGCUGGAGUGUCUCAGGCUGAGAGGGGCCUGGGCGCCAGGGCCUCCCCAGCGAUCGGAUCGGAGCCUGAGG
Long non-coding RNA from Pipistrellus kuhlii (Kuhl's pipistrelle), 154 nucleotides. RefSeq lists it as uncharacterized. Lineage: Eukaryota; Metazoa; Chordata; Mammalia; Chiroptera; Vespertilionidae. The transcript has 3 exons. The record is from RefSeq and is a predicted model, not a curated record.